RNAcentral lists this ribosomal RNA (254 nucleotides) under uncultured bacterium. Its description in RNAcentral is "partial 16S ribosomal RNA". It matches the Rfam family "Bacterial small subunit ribosomal RNA", at positions 524 to 776 of the family's 1533-position model. The record is from RNAcentral.
UACGGAGGGUGCAAGCGUUGUCCGGAUUUACUGGGUGUAAAGGGCGUGUAGGCGGGAGAAUGUGUCGGAAGUGAAAUCGCGCGGCUUAACCGUGUCAAUUGCUUCCGAAACUGUUUUUCUUGAAUACGGGAGAGGCAGAUGGAAUUCCAGGUGUAGCGGUGGAAUGCGUAGAUAUCUGGAAGAACACCAGUGGCGAAGGCGGUCUGCUGGCCCGUGAUUGACGCUGAGGCGCGAAAGUGUGGGGAGCAAACAGG